AUGUGCACGGACAAGGAAGAACUGAAGAAGGCAUUAACGAAGAUCAAGGAGCUCCAAGAAGAACUCAAGGCUACACGCGAAGAUUAUUUGGAGGAAAUCAACGCACUAGUAGGGAAGAAUGACGACCUGGAGAAGAAGAUUGGAGUAUUCGUGGGAAAUCCAGUGCCAAAAGCAGAAGUCGACGAAUGCACUUGUCCGGAUAACUACAUCAUCAUCGACGACACCGACUCAGAACCAAGUGAAGACGACUGGGUUGAUAAAGCUGGAGCAGACAUCAUGGAGUCUACAAUGGAUCAGAAUUUCUAG
RNAcentral lists this ribosomal RNA (306 nucleotides) under Triticum aestivum (bread wheat). RNAcentral's name for it is "partial small subunit ribosomal RNA". Lineage: Eukaryota; Viridiplantae; Streptophyta; Magnoliopsida; Poales; Poaceae. The record is from RNAcentral.